This is a long non-coding RNA of Lineus longissimus, 411 nucleotides long. RefSeq lists it as uncharacterized. The transcript is spliced from 3 exons. The record is from RefSeq and is a predicted model, not a curated record. NCBI's taxonomy places the organism in Eukaryota, Metazoa, Nemertea, Pilidiophora, Heteronemertea, Lineidae.
UUUAUUGGAACACGUUGAAUUGAACAUGUCCAAUUUUGCCUUGAACUCUUUCGAACGUAGCACUCAGACACGGAGCAUCAGCAGAUCAGAGUGUUUACAUACUACCGUGACCACAGAGGGAAACUUAUAAAUGUGGUAGCUCGCUGGCCUGGAGCCACACAUGACUCCCACAUCUUCAAGGAGAGCAAAAUCGGAGGGUAGUUGUAAAACAAGAAACACAGAAACGAAACAGAAACACAGAAACGCAGAAACGAAACGCAGAAACGAAAAUCAAACGGGUUUUCAUAAAAGUUGGAAUCAAGCGGCACGCCGAUACUUUCCUUGCCCAAUCCGUUGUUAUUGUCGUUUAAAAGUAAAAUCUCAGGUUGGUGGAUUGCGGCCAGCCGGAAUGCAAUAGAGUUGUUGAGGGGA